This 761-nucleotide ribosomal RNA is filed under the name uncultured bacterium. Its description in RNAcentral is "bacterial SSU rRNA". It matches the Rfam family "Bacterial small subunit ribosomal RNA", at positions 77 to 853 of the family's 1533-position model. The record is from RNAcentral.
AUCUUAAAAAACUGAAAAGUGGCGGACGGGUGAGUAACACGUGAGAACCUACCUUUAAAAAAGGGAAAACGAUUGGAAACGAUUGCUAAUACCUUAUAUGCCUUUAUAAAAUAAAAAUUAAGGUGAAAAGUUUAUUCUGUUUAGAGAAGGGCUCGCGGCUGAUUAGCUAGUUGGUAAGGUAAUGGCUUACCAAGGCGACGAUCAGUAACUGAUUUGAGAGGAUGAUCAGUCACACUGGAACUGAGACACGGUCCAGACUCCUACGGGGGGCAGCAGUGGGGAAUUUUCUGCAAUGGGCGAAAGCCUGACAGAGCAAUACCGCGUGAGGGAUGACAGCCCUAUGGGUUGUAAACCUCUUUUUUCAGGGAGGAAGUUCUGACGUUACCUGAAGAAUAAGCAUCGGCUAACUCCGUGCCAGCAGCCGCGGUAAGACGGAGGAUGCAAGUGUUAUCCGGAAUCACUGGGCGUAAAGCGUCUGUAGGUGUUUUAAUAAGUCUGUUGUUAAAGCUUGAGGCUUAACCUCAAAAAAGCAAUAGAAACUAUUAUGAAUUGAGUGUGGUAGGGGUAGAGGGAAUUUCCAGUGGAGCGGUGAAAUGCAUAGAUAUUGGAAAGAUCACCAAUGGCGAAGGCACUCUACUGGGCCAUUACUUACACUGAGAGACGAAAGCUAGGGGAGCAAAUGGGAUUAGAUACCCCAGUAGUCCUAGCCGUAAACGAUGGAUACUAGAUGUCGCAUGUAUGAUCCAUGCGGUAUUAUAGCU